RNAcentral lists this long non-coding RNA (2799 nucleotides) under Lynx pardinus (Iberian lynx). Lineage: Eukaryota; Metazoa; Chordata; Mammalia; Carnivora; Felidae. The record is from RNAcentral.
GCUAUACUCAUUGCUCUUGAGGGGAUCACUGCUUCCAGAUCUUCUCAGUGAAACAUAGGCAUGUAUAUGUGUGGAUAUAUAUAUGUGUGCGUGUGCCUGUGUGUGUGUGUCGUGUGUACAUCUAUAUUCUAUUCCUAUCUACGUGUUUACGUGUUUAGAUCACAUACUUAUUUAUCGACCUCUUCCAGGUUAGCAGUGUCUUAGCUAGAUGGCUUUUGAGUUUCAGAGAGCAGUGGAAUGUGAAAGCUCUGUGAAAGCAUCCCCUCUAACCUCUUUACUUUGCAGAUGGGGGUUGAGACCCAGAGCUGGGGAGCGGGGAGACUCGGGUCUCAGGUCUGGGACUCCCAGCAGCCUGUCUGGGAAGAGGACGCAGAACGCCAGGCGGACUCAGCUCCAAGCAGAUGCUGGUUGUGCUCGGAUAGAUGGAGCUUGUCUUCCGGGAGAGGAGUGGGCUCACCUGGGAGGACCCCAAAGGCGGAACAGAACACUGUGAGAAAGCAGGUACCUGCUUGCAGUGAGGAAGGACUUUGUUCGCCAUCAGCUGGUCACACUGGGGACAGGUGGCCGGCGGUGGGGACUUGCUCGCUCACUGACCGCCCGUGUGUGCUGCCCCAGGGCUCAUCUGGCCAGGGUUGGUGGAGGCCCUGGCUCCUCUCCAGCUGUGUCCCCGUGAUCCGCCCGCCGUGUUCCAGUAAGCCAUCGUGGGAGACGUUCUUCCUGUCCUAAGGGCCUGGUUUCCUGGCUCGGUUCUUCUAAAGUUCUCCUCCACUCCACGGUCCACCAGGGGCCAACUCACUCCCCCGAACCCUGAACACCCCAGCCCUGGGACCCACUGGAGCCUCCCCUCCCCCUAGAUUACCUCUUCUCCACCCACUGACCCUGUAAGGGAGACUCUCCUGCACCCUGGGCUAUUGUCCAGUUCAGAGGCACGGCCACGGUCAGCCUUAGGGCUGAGCGGGAGCUUGGGGCCGGCUCACCCCUCAGGCCGCAGAAGUUCAAGGUCAGCACCAGCAAGCUCUCGCCCUGCCUUCUGCAGUUAGAUAUGCCCCCUCUGCCCGGGUCACCCAGACUCUUCUGGGGUUCAGCCUCCCCCUACCCCUUGGAUUCACUGACUUCACUUCCGGCCCUUUUGAGUCCAUGUCUAGAAUUGCAGACGGGUCAUCUGAGACCCUGUGAUCCUGACAUCCCCCUGGGGUCUCCCCUUGGAUUCUUUUCCCAUCACGGUGCUGGUGGCCUUUGGCCAGAAAUACAAAGCGACCAAGAGGUGGUGCUGCUGGGUCAGGCUCACCCCUAAAUGCAACUUAAGCUCCGAGAAGGGACUGAAUGUGGGGCGAAAGGGAGGGGUGGGGACUGGGCACUACGGGCUGUGUGGGCCACCUAAAAGCAUUCUGAGUGUGUGUGCACGUGUGUACCAGUAAACCCACACAUAUGUGUACACACACACGUACAUCAUAAUACCGGGAAAUAGGUCUUCACACACACACACACAAACAUACCAGUAUAUACAUGCAAACAUACCAAUAUGUAUAUAUAUAUAUACCAGUAUGAAUAGAUGUAUAUGCACAUAUGCUUACUAGUAUACACACACAUAUACCCGCAUGCGGAAAGGUGAAGAACCAGUAUACAGCUCUAAAAUGCACACAUACACACACACACUUACCCAUGUAUGUGUGUUGGUGUGUGUGCAUACAUGUGUGUAAAUCCUCACUGACAUGUACAUGUAUGUAUUUGUGCACGCUCUGGUAUGUGCAUAUGUGUGCGUAUGUAUGUACACACCGGCAAAGAGGCACUGCCGGUUUGUGGCUCUGACUUCCGGCCCGUGAGGCUCCGAGAGGGCCACAGCUUCUCCCUGGAUCCUGCAGGCCAUUGGUCACAUCUGCACACACCUUCAGAGAACGUUGCCCCAGGUUUCCAGGGUCCGGAAAUCUCCCUGAACGAAGAAAGAAGCGGGUGUGACUUGAGUGAGCAUUUUCUUUCUGGGGUUAAGAUGGGAAAGUGGUCAAGGGCGGCCUAACAGAAACACGGACGCGGGAGGGACGUCAGAGAACGCCUGUCCGAUGCCCGUAUUAUGUUCCAGACAGAGGCUAUGUUGGUUUGCUAGGCGUCUGUAACAAAGUACACAGACCGAAAAAAGAAAACAAAAAACAAAGUACGCAGACUGGGUGGCUGGAAACACCAGAAAUUUGUUCUCCCAUGGUUCUGGAGGUGAGAAGUCUGAAUGUGGGCAGGGUGGGUUCCUCCUGAGGGCCGGGAGGGGGUGGUCUGCUCCGUGCCUGUGUCCGGGCUUCUGGUGGUUUUCUGGCAAACCUUGGCGUUCCGUGGCUUGUAGACACAUCGCUCCAGUCUGCACCUGCGUCGUCAGAUGGCGUGUCCCCCGUGCACGUGUCUUUGUCUCUUCUCUUCGAUUUAUGGGACAACAGUCAUAGAGGAUUCAGGGCCACUCUACGUCAGUGCGACCUUGUCUUAAUUCCAUCUGCAGCAACCCUAUUUCCAAAUAAGAUCGAUUCUGAAGUCCUGGGGGUGAGGACAUCGACAUAUCUUCAUUAGGGGACACAGUACAGACUGUAACAGAGGGAACACGACUUGAUCGACGCUCACAGCGUAUCCAUUGAUCAGUUCAUACGGCUCUGCCUCUGAUGCCUGAUUAAUACAAAAUUAACUUUCUGCUUCCUGAAAUUCUAGGAACUUCUGGCUCGUCGGCAGGUCCUACACACCUGUGGUUCGGACAAAAUGAGAUUUGCUUGGUGGAUAAAAAGAGAGAUCAGCUCGGGGCCCCUGGGUGGCUCAGUCAGUUAAGCG